AGGACGAACGCUGGCGGCGUGCUUAACACAUGCAAGUCGAGCGGUAAGGCCUUUCGGGGUACACGAGCGGCGAACGGGUGAGUAACACGUGGGUGAUCUGCCCUGCACUUCGGGAUAAGCCUGGGAAACUGGGUCUAAUACCGGAUAUGACUUCAGGUUGCAUGACUUGGGGUGGAAAGAUUUAUCGGUGCAGGAUGGGCCCGCGGCCUAUCAGCUUGUUGGUGGGGUAAUGGCCUACCAAGGCGACGACGGGUAGCCGACCUGAGAGGGUGACCGGCCACGACUGGGACUGAGACACGGCCCAGACUCCUACGGGAGGCAGCAGUGGGGAAUAUUGCACAAUGGGCGAAAGCCUGAUGCAGCGACGCCGCGUGAGGAUGACGGCCUUCGGGUUGUAAACCUCUUUCAGCGAGGACGAAGCGCAAGUGACGGUACCUGCAGAAUAAGCACCGCUAACUACGUGCCAGCAGCCGC
This 474-nucleotide ribosomal RNA is filed under the name uncultured soil bacterium. RNAcentral describes it as "bacterial SSU rRNA". It matches the Rfam family "Bacterial small subunit ribosomal RNA", at positions 26 to 518 of the family's 1533-position model. The record is from RNAcentral.